UACGUAGGGUGCAAGCGUUAAUCGGAAUUACUGGGCGUAAAGCGUGCGCAGGCGGUUAUGUAAGACAGGUGUGAAAUCCCCGGGCUUAACCUGGGAACUGCAUUUGUGACUGCAUAGCUAGAGUACGGUAGAGGGGGAUGGAAUUCCGCGUGUAGCAGUGAAAUGCGUAGAUAUGCGGAGGAACACCGAUGGCGAAGGCAAUCCCCUGGACCUGUACUGACGCUCAUGCACGAAAGCGUGGGGAGCAAACGAGG
RNAcentral lists this ribosomal RNA (254 nucleotides) under uncultured bacterium. RNAcentral's name for it is "partial 16S ribosomal RNA". It matches the Rfam family "Bacterial small subunit ribosomal RNA", at positions 524 to 777 of the family's 1533-position model. The record is from RNAcentral.